RNAcentral lists this ribosomal RNA (486 nucleotides) under uncultured bacterium. RNAcentral's name for it is "partial 16S ribosomal RNA". It matches the Rfam family "Bacterial small subunit ribosomal RNA", at positions 30 to 507 of the family's 1533-position model. The record is from RNAcentral.
AUUGAACGCUGGCGGCAUGCCUUACACAUGCAAGUCGAACGGCAGCACGGGUGCUUGCACCUGGUGGCGAGUGGCGAACGGGUGAGUAAUACAUCGGAACAUGUCCUGUAGUGGGGGGUAGCCCGGCGAAAGCCGGAUUAAUACCGCAUACGAUCUACGGAUGAAAGCGGGGGACCUUCGGGCCUCGCGCUAUAGGGUUGGCCGAUGGCUGAUUAGCUAGUUGGUGGGGUAAAGGCCUACCAAGGCGACGAUCAGUAGCUGGUCUGAGAGGGCGACCAGCCACACUGGGACUGAGACACGGCCCAGACUCCUACGGGAGGCAGCAGUGGGGAAUUUUGGACAAUGGGCGAAAGCCUGAUCCAGCAAUGCCGCGUGUGUGAAGAAGGCCUUCGGGUUGUAAAGCACUUUUGUCCGGAAAGAAAUCCUUGGCCCUAAUACGGUCGGGGGAUGACGGUACCGGAAGAAUAAGCACCGGCUAACUACGUG